This 464-nucleotide ribosomal RNA is filed under the name uncultured bacterium. RNAcentral describes it as "partial 16S ribosomal RNA". It matches the Rfam family "Bacterial small subunit ribosomal RNA", at positions 339 to 795 of the family's 1533-position model. The record is from RNAcentral.
CUACGGGGCGCACCAGUGGGGAAUAUUGCACAAUGGGCGCAAGCCUGAUGCAGCCAUGCCGCGUGUAUGAAGAAGGCCUUCGGGUUGUAAAGUACUUUCAGCGGGGAGGAAGGGAGUAAAGUUAAUACCUUUGCUCAUUGACGUUACCCGCAGAAGAAGCACCGGCUAACUCCGUGCCAGCAGCCGCGGUAAUACGGAGGGUGCAAGCGUUAAUCGGAAUUACUGGGCGUAAAGCGCACGCAGGCGGUUUGUUAAGUCAGAUGUGAAAUCCCCGGGCUCAACCGGGGAACUGCAUCUGAUACUGGCAAGCUUGAGUCUCGUAGAGGGGGGUAGAAUUCCAGGUGUAGCGGUGAAAUGCGUAGAGAUCUGGAGGAAUACCGGUGGCGAAGGCGCCCCCCUGGACGAAGACUGACGCUCAGGUGCGAAAGCGUGGGGAGCAAACAGGAUUAGAUACCCGUGUAGUC